RNAcentral lists this ribosomal RNA (494 nucleotides) under uncultured bacterium. Its description in RNAcentral is "partial 16S ribosomal RNA". It matches the Rfam family "Bacterial small subunit ribosomal RNA", at positions 28 to 507 of the family's 1533-position model. The record is from RNAcentral.
GACGAACGCUGGCGGCGCGCUUAACACAUGCAAGUCGAACGGAAAGGCCUGCUUUCCCUUGUGGAUUGCGGGUACUCGAGUGGCGAACGGGUGAGUAACACGUGAGUGAUCUGCCCCCAACUUGGGUAUAAGCCUGGGAAACUGGGUCUAAUUCCCGAUAGGACUGCAGGGUGGUUCCUGUGGUGGAAAACGAUUUUCUAGUGGUUGGGGAUGAGCUCGCGGCCUAUCAGCUUGUUGGUGGGGUAAUGGCCUACCAAGGCGGCGACGGGUAGCCGGCCUGGGAGGGUGGACGGCCACAUUGGGACUGAGAUACGGCCCAGACUACUACGGGAGGCAGCAGUGGGGAAUAUUGCACGAUGGGCGGAAGCCUGAUGCAGGGACGCCGCGUGGGGGAUGACGGCCUUCGGGUUGUAAACUCCUUUCGACCGCGAGGAAGCCACCUGGUUGGAAGGGUGGUGACGGUAGUGGUAGAAGAAGCACCGGCUAACUACGUG